This is a long non-coding RNA of Parus major (Great Tit), 1593 nucleotides long. RefSeq lists it as uncharacterized. The transcript is spliced from 2 exons. Lineage: Eukaryota; Metazoa; Chordata; Aves; Passeriformes; Paridae. The record is from RefSeq and is a predicted model, not a curated record.
GCCUCCGGCGCCGCGCCGGAGGAGCACGAGAACACUCGGCAGUAUUCGUCAGCCAAUGGCGAGCGCCGCGCCGAGGGGGGCCCUCGGCCGCGGUGGCGGCGAGCGCGCCGGCUGAGAGGGUCGCUUCAGAGAGAAUUGCUGUUGUUUCUUUUAAUUGAAAGUUCUCUCAAACAUUGAUUGUUUUCUUUUUGUUUUGAUGCCGGGAAGAGAUGGAAUUAUCACUGCAGAUCACGGAAGUUGCGAAAAGCACUUAGAGCCCCCACUAAAUGGUCAAGUAACAGCAGAGUAAUGUACCACGGUGAAACCUGCACGGCAGGAAUUCCAAUGCCAAAGGCCCAGGGCACUCUUGUUUGUCCCUAGCCUUGGGGAAGCUCAUGCAACAGGUAACUAAGGAAGUUGAUAAUCAGACCUUUUAGCCCCUGACCGGGUAGGUGAGUUUCUAGCUGGCACCUUUCCUGCAGCAACUUGUCUACAAGUGUGUACUGGAGCUUUUAAAUUCACAUAGUGCAUCAGGUUCUGGAUUAAAAAAUGGAUCAUAAUUUUUUUAGUACUGCAUAUCAUGUUGGAUGUACCAAACUUGACCUGAAAUGUAGAAGGGAGAAAGGGGCAGAAUUAAUUAUUUUACAGUCACUUAUAACUAUAAAUGAGAUUUUCAAAUAUUUAUUAUAAACCGAGUUUUCUCCUUGGUAAGUCACUAUAACCUGGGCCUGUAUUUAUCGUUAUUUUAUUCCUGUUCAGUAAUAUUCACUCAUCAGAGCUAUAAAGUGUAAUAUGCAAUAUUUUAUGAGAACAAUUGAUUAUGAUAGAUGGUGUAGAAUUAAAAAAUUAUAUAGAUGAAUGUAAUAUUUUUCCCCAGUCUAUUAUUGAAUUGUUCUGUCUCAUUUUUUUUUAAGUUUCCAAAUUAAUAUGAACACAAGUUUUUUAAUACCUGUAAUAGUUUAAGGUCAUUAGGUCAUUAGUCGAUUUACUUGUUUAUUUAUGAGGACUAAAUUCUAGUACUUCUGGAAAAAGCUCUUUUUCUUCUUAAAAAAUAUGUUCCUAAUAUUCCUAAUAGAUGAAAAAUUAGUAGAACAUUUCUAUCUAUGAUUUCUUUUUACUUUAAAGUUUGGUAGUUGUUUGGUUGUUUGGUUUUUGUUUUUUUUUUUUUUUGGGGGGGGGGUUUGUUUAUUUCUAUCACCUUAUAUUUCCUAGCUUAAUAGUAGUAAAAUAGUAAUAUUUAAGUGGUUUUUUUCACACUGAUAUUAUUACAAUUGAUAUGGAAUUACCAUACCAAAAUGAACUUUGUAGUAAAUACUUAAUAUAAAAACUUUAAUUACAUAAUUUAAUUUCUUGUUUUCAAUUAGUUAAAAAAUAUGGUAAUUUUCCUUGUCAGUUUCCUUUCAAAAUUUUCAAUAUUUGAUCACAGUAGUGCAAAUUUUUUGUGGAUUAAAUAAUAUUAGAGGUUUUGAGUUUUAAUCCCACGUGUAAGUACAUGUUUUAUUCCCAGUUUGCAAACCAUACUGAAUUUUCACGCACUCUUUUGUUUUUGGAUUUUUUUUUCCAUGUUAAUGUAUCUCAGUAUAUUAAAAUGCAUCAUUUGCUUCUUAAAAUGGA